UACGGAGGGUGCGAGCGUUGUCCGGAAUCACUGGGCGUAAAGGGCGCGUAGGCGGCGCGGGUAGUCAACGGUGAAAGCUUGGGGCUCAACCCCGAGUCGGCCGUCGAUACUCCCGCGCUCGAGCACUGUAGAGGCAGGUGGAAUUCCGGGUGUAGCGGUGGAAUGCGUAGAGAUCCGGAAGAACACCGGUGGCGAAGGCGGCCUGCUGGGCAGUAGCUGACGCUGAGGCGCGACA
Molecule: ribosomal RNA, 235 nt
Filed under: uncultured bacterium
Lineage: Bacteria
Description: partial 16S ribosomal RNA
Rfam family: Bacterial small subunit ribosomal RNA
Source: RNAcentral